This 19-nucleotide small nuclear RNA is filed under the name Arabidopsis thaliana (thale cress). RNAcentral describes it as "snRNA_04329". Lineage: Eukaryota; Viridiplantae; Streptophyta; Magnoliopsida; Brassicales; Brassicaceae. The record is from RNAcentral.
UCUUAAUUUUAUCUCUCGA